Long non-coding RNA from Labrus mixtus (cuckoo wrasse), 718 nucleotides. RefSeq lists it as uncharacterized. The transcript is spliced from 3 exons. The record is from RefSeq and is a predicted model, not a curated record. NCBI's taxonomy places the organism in Eukaryota, Metazoa, Chordata, Actinopteri, Labriformes, Labridae.
UGAAGAUCAUCACAACUAGAGGCAGAGAAAGAGAAGAAGGAUUUAAAUGUCUUUAUUUGUGAUACUGGUGCUUCUGCUUACAGCAUCAGUAACUGGAGAAGACAUCCCGUCCUUCACCGUCAGAGAGGGAGCUGAAGUCACUUUGCCUUGUGGAAAUGUGAUAAAAAAGUCAGCAGAACUGUGACGGGACUUCUUGGCUUAUCAGCCAGGGAUUUGUGGGAGCUUUAGAGCUGGUUACACGUGGGAAUAUCAGUGAAAAAGCCGUCGAUUUAUCCAACAGGCUGAGAGUCGCAGCGAACUGUUCUCUGGUAAUAACGGAGGUCAAUAUGUUGUAUGUUGGUCGUUACGCCUGCAGGCAGUUCAAAUCAGGAGAACAACACGGUCAGGAUGCUCAUGUGGAUCUGUCUGUUUUGGAAAUUGAGGAAUUAUUGUCCAAAGAUGAGUCCAACUUCUCCUGCUCUGUGGACACAUAUGACAACGGGUGUUGGCACACAGUACAGUGGUUGUAUAAAGGAAGCAUGGAUGACAUGGUGACAUCACAGGCUACAUGUUCAGCCACUGUGACAUUUACGACUCCUCCUCUUGAUCAGGCGUUAAACUUCGACGAGUUGCUGAUCUGCAACGUGACAGACAGUAAGAGUGGACAAACACUGUUGAGUCAUGUCGGCAGCCAAUCCUCACGUGAGGAGACAGGUAUACUUUAUUAAAUCACAUUUAU